This 807-nucleotide long non-coding RNA is filed under the name Homo sapiens (human). RNAcentral's name for it is "HSALNT0128766". Lineage: Eukaryota; Metazoa; Chordata; Mammalia; Primates; Hominidae. The record is from RNAcentral.
GAGUCUUGCUCAUCACCCAGGCUGGAGUGCAGUGGGGUGAUCUCGGCUCACUGCAGCUUCUGUCUCCCGGGUUCAAGCAAUUCUCCUGCCUCAGCCUCCCAAGUAGCUGGGAUUACAGCCUCGCCAACAUGGCGAAACCCCAUCUCUACUAAAAAUACAAAAGUUAGCUGGGUGUGGUGGCAGAGGCCUGUAAUCCCAGCUCCUUGGGAGGCUGAGGCGGGAGAAUUGCUUGAACCCGGGGACGGAGGUUGCAGUGAGCCGAGAUCGCACUGCUGUACCCAGCCUGGGCCACAGUGCAAGACUCCAUCUCAAAAAAAAAAGAAAAGAAAAAGCCUGUUUAAUGCACAGGUGUGAGUGGAUUGCUUAUGGCUAUGAGAUAGGUUGAUCUCGCCCUUACCCCGGGGUCUGGUGUAUGCUGUGCUUUCCUCAGCAGUAUGGCUCUGACAUCUCUUAGAUGUCCCAACUUCAGCUGUUGGGAGAUGGUGAUAUUUUCAACCCUACUUCCUAAACAUCUGUCUGGGGUUCCUUUAGUCUUGAAUGUCUUAUGCUCAAUUAUUUGGUGUUGAGCCUCUCUUCCACAAGAGCUCCUCCAUGUUUGGAUAGCAGUUGAAGAGGUUGUGUGGGUGGGCUGUUGGGAGUGAGGAUGGAGUGUUCAGUGCCCAUUUCUCAUUUUACAUUUUAAAGUCGUUCCUCCAACAUAGUGUGUAUUGGUCUGAAGGGGGUGGUGGGAUGCCAAAGCCUGCUCAAGUUAUGGACAUUGUGGCCACCAUGUGGCUUAAAUGAUUUUUUCUAACUAAUAAAGUGGAA